GAUGAAGAACGUAGCGAAAUGCGAUAAGUAAUGUGAAUUGCAGAAUUCAGUGAAUCAUCGAAUCUUUGAACGCACCUUGCGCUCUUUGGUAUUCCGAAGAGCAUGCCUGUUUGAGUGUCAUGAAAAUAUCAACCUUGACUUGGGUUUUGUGCUCUAGUCUCGGCUUGGAAUUGGGUGCUUGCCGCUUUAACGAGCGGCUCACCUUAAAUGUAUUAGCUGGAUCUGUCUUUGAGACUUGGUUUGACGUGGCGUAAUAAGUAUUUCGCUAAGGACAUUCUUCGGAGUGGCCUCGUUUCUAGGACGCUUGUCCGCUUUCCAAUACAAGUUCCACCUCGUGGACAUGAAUUUUUAUUAUCUGGCCUCAAAUCAGGUAGGACUACCCGCUGAACUUAAGCAUAUCAAUAAGCGGAGGA
This 413-nucleotide unclassified non-coding RNA is filed under the name soil metagenome. Its description in RNAcentral is "partial contains 5.8S ribosomal RNA, internal transcribed spacer 2, and large subunit ribosomal RNA". The stretch from base 1 to 120 matches the Rfam family "5.8S ribosomal RNA", at positions 35 to 154 of the family's 154-position model. The record is from RNAcentral.